Molecule: unclassified non-coding RNA, 240 nt
Filed under: soil metagenome
Description: partial contains 5.8S ribosomal RNA, internal transcribed spacer 2, and large subunit ribosomal RNA
Source: RNAcentral
AACGCACGAGACCUGCGGACCUGCGGAAGGAUCAUUAUUGAAUAAGCUUGGUUGGGUUGUUGCUGGUCCUGAGGGACAUGUGCACGCCUACCAUUAGUUUUCCAAUCCCCUGUGCACUUCAUGUAGGCUAGCAAAAAACAACACCUUAUCGAGGUCAAACUCGGACUUGGGAAUUGCUGUGAAUAUAUCAGUCAGCUCUUCUUGUUUGCUUUUACUAGUCUAUGUCUUUAUUAUACUCCA